RNAcentral lists this ribosomal RNA (1512 nucleotides) under Legionella pneumophila. Its description in RNAcentral is "partial 23S ribosomal RNA". It matches the Rfam family "Bacterial large subunit ribosomal RNA", at positions 1431 to 2925 of the family's 2925-position model. The record is from RNAcentral. Lineage: Bacteria; Pseudomonadati; Pseudomonadota; Gammaproteobacteria; Legionellales; Legionellaceae.
UAAUAUUCCUGGACUUUUUAUAAGUGGUGAAGUGGGGACGAAGAAGGCUAGGUGAGCCAGGCGUUGGUUGUCCUGGUACUUGCAUGUAGGGGGGAAGACUUGGCAAAUCCGGUUUUCCAUAACUCUGAGGUGCGAAGUGGUUCUGACCUUUUGGUACAGAGAAGUCAUUGAUGCCCGGCUUCCAGGAAAAGCUGCUAGCCAUAACUUAUAGAGAACCGUACCGCAAACCGACACAGGUGGACAGGUAGAGAAUACUAAGGCGCUUGAGAGAACUCGGGUGAAGGAACUAGGCAAAAUGGUACCGUAACUUCGGGAGAAGGUACGCCCUUUUGGGUGAGGGCAUUUACUGUCUGAGCUUAAGAGGGCCGCAGAGACCAGGUGGCUGCGACUGUUUAUUAAAAACACAGCACUCUGCAAAUUCGUAAGAAGACGUAUAGGGUGUGACGCCUGCCCGGUGCCGGAAGGUUAAUUGAUGGGGUUAUCUUCGGAGAAGCUCUUGAUCGAAGCCCCGGUAAACGGCGGCCGUAACUAUAACGGUCCUAAGGUAGCGAAAUUCCUUGUCGGGUAAGUUCCGACCUGCACGAAUGGCGUAACGAUGGCCACACUGUCUCCACCCGAGACUCAGUGAAAUUGAAAUCGCUGUGAAGAUGCAGUGUACCCGCGGCUAGACGGAAAGACCCCGUGAACCUUUACUAUAGUUUUGCACUGGACUUUGAUGAUGACUGUGUAGGAUAGGUGGGAGGCUGUGAAGUGAGGACGCUAGUUCUCAUGGAGCCGCCCUUGAAAUACCACCCUGUUGUUAUUGAGGUUCUAACUUGGUCCAGUAAUCCUGGAUGAGGACAGUGUAUGAUGGGUAGUUUGACUGGGGCGGUCUCCUCCCAAAGAGUAACGGAGGAGCACAAAGGUACCCUCGGUACGGUCGGACAUCGUACCAAGAGUGUAAAGGCAAAAGGGUGCUUGACUGCGAGAGUGACGGCUCGAGCAGGAACGAAAGUUGGUCUUAGUGAUCCGGUGGUUCUGAAUGGAAGGGCCAUCGCUCAACGGAUAAAAGGUACUCCGGGGAUAACAGGCUGAUACCGCCCAAGAGUUCAUAUCGACGGCGGUGUUUGGCACCUCGAUGUCGGCUCAUCACAUCCUGGGGCUGAAGCAGGUCCCAAGGGUAUGGCUGUUCGCCAUUUAAAGUGGUACGCGAGCUGGGUUUAGAACGUCGUGAGACAGUUCGGUCCCUAUCUGCCGUGGGCGUAGGAAAAUUGAGAGGAGCUGCUCCUAGUACGAGAGGACCGGAGUGGACGAACCUCUGGUGCACCGGUUGUCACGCCAGUGGCAUGGCCGGGUAGCUAAGUUCGGACGGGAUAACCGCUGAAAGCAUCUAAGCGGGAAGCCUCCCUCAAGAUGAGUUUUCCCAUGAAGCCCGUUGAAGACUACGACGUUGAUAGGCAAGGUGUGGAAGCGCAGUAAUGCGUGAAGCUAACUUGUACUAAUUGGCUGAUUGUCUUGACCAUAUAAUCUGAG